UUAGAUUGGACGUUACCGAGUUUACACUCCCAACCCCUGUGAACAUACCACUUGUUGCCUCGGCGGAUCAGCCCGCUCCCGGUAAAACGGGACGGCCCGCCAGAGGACCCCUAAACUCUGUUUCUAUAUGUAACUUCUGAGUAAAACCAUAAAUAAAUCAAAACUUUCAACAACGGAUCUCUUGGUUCUGGCAUCGAUGAAGAACGCAGCAAAAUGCGAUAAGUAAUGUGAAUUGCAGAAUUCAGUGAAUCAUCGAAUCUUUGAACGCACAUUGCGCCCGCCAGUAUUCUGGCGGGCAUGCCUGUUCGAGCGUCAUUUCAACCCUCAAGCCCUCGGGUUUGGUGUUGGGGAUCGGCGAGCCCUUUGCGGCAAGCCGGCCCCAAAAUCUAGUGGAGGUCUCAAUACAACUUCCAUUGGAUACGAAGAAAACCCUCCCAACUGAAAAGGGAGGCGGACAAACCAAUAGACCAAAAAAUUAAGAAAGAAGAGAAUGGAAAGGAAAAACCACCAAAAAAAACCCAACA
RNAcentral lists this ribosomal RNA (524 nucleotides) under Fusarium oxysporum. RNAcentral describes it as "eukaryotic LSU rRNA". The stretch from base 162 to 315 matches the Rfam family "5.8S ribosomal RNA". The record is from RNAcentral. Lineage: Eukaryota; Fungi; Ascomycota; Sordariomycetes; Hypocreales; Nectriaceae.